This 253-nucleotide ribosomal RNA is filed under the name uncultured bacterium. RNAcentral describes it as "partial 16S ribosomal RNA". It matches the Rfam family "Bacterial small subunit ribosomal RNA", at positions 524 to 776 of the family's 1533-position model. The record is from RNAcentral.
CACGUAGGGCGCAAGCGUUGUCCGGAAUUAUUGGGCGUAAAGAGCUCGUAGGUGGUUUGCUGCGUCCGCUGUGAAAACCCAAGGCUUAACCUUGGGCUUGCAGUGGAUACGGGCAGACUAGAGGUAGGUAGGGGAGAAUGGAAUUCCCGGUGUAGCGGUGAAAUGCGCAGAUAUCGGGAGGAACACCGGUGGCGAAGGCAGAUCUCUGGGCCGUAACUGACGCUGAGGAGCGAAAGCAUGGGGAGCGAACAGG